This 253-nucleotide ribosomal RNA is filed under the name uncultured bacterium. Its description in RNAcentral is "partial 16S ribosomal RNA". It matches the Rfam family "Bacterial small subunit ribosomal RNA", at positions 524 to 776 of the family's 1533-position model. The record is from RNAcentral.
UACGUAGGGUGCGAGCGUUGUCCGGAAUUAUUGGGCGUAAAGAGCUUGUAGGCGGUUUGUCGCGUCUGCUGUGAAAUUUCGGGGCUCAACCCCGAACUUGCAGUGGGUACGGGCAGACUAGAGUGUGGUAGGGGAGACUGGAAUUCCUGGUGUAGCGGUGAAAUGCGCAGAUAUCAGGAGGAACACCUAUGGCGAAGGCAGCUCUCUGGGACGGUACUGACGCUGAGACGCGAAAGCGUGGGGAGCGAACAGG